CCCCAGCGCCACAAGUGGUUAUCACGAUUAUUGGGCCUAAAGCGUUCGUAGCUGGUUUGGUAAAUCUCUUGUGAAAUUGUUCGGCUUAACCGGACAGCGUGCAGGAGGGACUGCCAAACUCGAGACCGGGAGGCGUAUGAAGUAUUCCAUGGGGACUGGUAAAAUGGGAUAAUCCAUGGAAGACUACCGAUGGCGAAGGCAUCAUACGAGAACGGAUCUGACAGUGAGGAACGAAAGCCAGGGGAGCGAACCGG
This 254-nucleotide ribosomal RNA is filed under the name uncultured bacterium. RNAcentral's name for it is "partial 16S ribosomal RNA". It matches the Rfam family "Archaeal small subunit ribosomal RNA", at positions 474 to 727 of the family's 1478-position model. The record is from RNAcentral.